CUCUGGGCUCGCAACGUAGCCCAGGGCGGAAAGAG
This 35-nucleotide non-coding RNA is filed under the name unclassified sequences. The record is from RNAcentral.